RNAcentral lists this long non-coding RNA (1528 nucleotides) under Lynx pardinus (Iberian lynx). Lineage: Eukaryota; Metazoa; Chordata; Mammalia; Carnivora; Felidae. The record is from RNAcentral.
CGCCAUAGAAUCCGCUCCCACAACUGGCAUAAGGUGCUGUGACUCUCAGAUCUUCACCUCUCACUGUUUCUCUGGGAAGUCUCCAGGUCCCCACAUUUCAACUACCUACCAAGCAUUUACUCUUAGAUAUCCCACAAAGCACCUCAGACUCAGUGUUUCUCAAAUAUUACAUCCCUAGCUAUGUUUGUUUCUGUGAGGUUUUUUGUUUGUUUUGGGUUUUGUUUUUUGGUUUUUUUUUUUAGUAAUUUCACCCAACAUGGUGCUCGAACUCACGACCCUAAGAUCAAGAGUCACACACUCUUCCUACUGUGCCAGACAGGUGCCCCUGUUCUUUGUGUUUUUUAUCUCAAUGAAGGGCUCUACCACAUUAGUCAAGCUAGAAACAUGGGGGUAACCCCAUUCAUUCAUUUAAAACCACUAUUCUAGGCACUGGGGAUAACAGAAACUACAAAAAGUCGUGCCCUCCAAAAACUUGUAUUCCAGAAGGGGAAAACAGAGUAAGCAAUCAGUCCCCAAAUCUAACAGAUUCCAACUUAUUAUUUUUUUUAAAGGUGAGCCACCUUUUUUUUUUUUUUUUAAUAUUUAUUUUUGAGAAAGAGCAAGUGGGGCAGGGGCAGAGAGAGAGGGGGACAGAGGAUCAGAAGCAGGUUCUAUGCUGACAACAGAAAGCCCGAUGUGGGGCUCGAACUCACAAGCCACACGAUCAUGAAUGGAGCUGAAGUCAGACACUCAACCGACUAAGCCAGGCAGGCACCCCCAGAUUCCAACUUCUAAUAUCUCUAGACUCUGUCUCUCCAGUCACCACCUUAGUUCAAACCCUUGAUGGCCUCCCUCUUUCUCUUACUCCCUCCAGCCCAUUCUCCCGACAGCAGUGGGGAGCUGAAUCUUAAAUUGUAGCCUCUAGCUUUAAGCUUUCCAUCCCUCCAGGAGAGAGUCUUUCUUUGCAAUCUGGGUUAAAGGGUUUUAUAGCCUCUAGGCCCUGCUGGCCUUUCCAUCACUCAUCUCCACCCCGGUGAGCCACACUCUCCUCAGGCCACACUGAAUUAUAGCUGCAGGCUUCCCAUACCUGCCAUUCCACGCCUUCCCUCCUGCUUAGCUGACUCCUUGUCUGCUUUGCAGGUCUUAGCUCAGGUACUAUGACAGGCAGCUUCUGAGGUGGCCCCCACUGAUCCCUGGCUCCUCAUAUCCAGCCCUUGGGAUUCUGAAGAAAGGAAUGUGGCAGAAGCUGCCUUGUUGUGAACUGCUCUGUGAUGAAGGCCAUGUGACAAGGAGCAGAGGGAAGCCUCCGGCCAAAAACCUGUGAGGAACUGAAUCCUUCCAGCAAUGAUGUGAGCGAGCUUGGCACAGGGGUCCCCCCACCAAGCUGGGCCUUCAGAUGAGAUGGCCGCCCCAGCAGUCAGCAUUAACCGCAACCUCAUGGAAGACCUUCAGCCACGAGAGGCAGCCAGUUAAGUCAUGCCUGGAUUCCUGACCCAAAAAAAAACAAAAACAAAAACCUGUAAGAUAAUAAAUGUUUGUUGUCUUAAGC